This is a non-coding RNA of Hypoxylon sp. CI-4A, 114 nucleotides long. Lineage: Eukaryota; Fungi; Ascomycota; Sordariomycetes; Xylariales; Hypoxylaceae. The record is from the annotation of a GenBank genome assembly.
UCCGAAUUGGUGUAGUGGCUAACAUUUGACGCUCUCAUGGGGCAUCAUCUCUAUCAUGUGUGUUGUAUGAUCUCCAGAUCCGUCAAGCCCGGGGUUCGAUUCCCCGAUUCGGAG